RNAcentral lists this ribosomal RNA (468 nucleotides) under uncultured bacterium. RNAcentral describes it as "partial 16S ribosomal RNA". It matches the Rfam family "Bacterial small subunit ribosomal RNA", at positions 28 to 507 of the family's 1533-position model. The record is from RNAcentral.
GACGAACGCUGGCGGCGUGCUUAACACAUGCAAGUCGAACGGAAAGGCCCUGCUUUCGUGGGGUGCUCGAGUGGCGAACGGAUGAGUACCACGUGAGUAACCUGCUCUUGACUUUGGGAUAACUUCAGGAAACUGGGGCUAAUACCUGAUAGGAGCUCCUGCUGCAUGGUGGGGGUUGGAAAGUUUCGGUGGUUGGGGAUGGACUCGCGGCUUAUCAGCUUGUUGGUGGGGUAGUGGCUUACCAAGGCCUUGACGGGUAGCCGGCGUGAGAGGGUGACCGGGCAAAUUGGGACUGAGAUACGGGCCAGAGUACUACGGGAGGCAGCAGUAGGGAAGAUUGCACGAUGGGGGGAAGCCGGAUGCAGCAACGCCGCGUGCGGGAUGAUGGCCUUCUGGUUGUAAACCGCAUUCGCCUGUGACGAUGCGUGAGUGACGGUAAUGGGUAAAGAAGCACCGGCUAACUACGUG